Molecule: long non-coding RNA, 13023 nt
Organism: Oncorhynchus nerka (sockeye salmon)
Lineage: Eukaryota; Metazoa; Chordata; Actinopteri; Salmoniformes; Salmonidae
Exons: 4
Source: RefSeq, a predicted model, not a curated record
UCCGGUCCUCAGAUGGUUCUCAGAGGAAAACAACAUCGAAUGAAAUUAUUUUCGAAAUGGGCGUCUUUGACGUUGUUUCCUAAAUGUAUCUCGAUUUCGUAAUUUUGCAGAUCAGAGACUUCACGAGUUUACGUUCUAGCUAAUGCCAUAGCCAACCAAGGAGCUUUCCCAGAUAACUGAAGGCGUCUGGAUAUGAUCUGCAGUUGCAGAUGAACUUCUUGUCCAAGUUCUCCUGGAAGCCUUUGACAACAUGGAGAAGAGUUGGGACAGCAUAGAUGAAGCAGGAGACUACUCAACAGAUGAAACUAGAAAUAUACCAAGCCAUUCAUGUCAGAAAAUCACUGAACACAAGGGAGCAGAAGGGGGAGAAGAGGUCCUGACUGACAAAACAUAUAAGAAGAAUAUGGCCGAAUUUAAGGUGAAGAAUGAAGAUGACUCUAGUCCUUUUUCGGACAUCCACAGUCAUUCAAAGAUCAUGGCUCAAGAUCUUCAACGAGGGGCAACAGAAGUUAUCCAAGAUAAGUGUUCCCCUUUCUUUGAAAGAUUAUGCCCUGUGGGCCUAACCAAUGUUCAGGAAAGUUGUAUUUUGGCUUCUGGAUUUGAUGUAAAAAAGAAGACCGGUAGAGAUUCUGCUGCAGUGGGGAUCGGUACUAUAGUUUCUUUCUCCCCCUUUUCAAGCAAUCUGUCAAAAAAUAUAAAGGGAACUGUCACACAGUCACCCAUAGACCUUGAGUUACAGCAAUGUUCUUUAUCAGACUCUUCUCUAAGUGACCCCGGACAAUAUUCAAGAGCGGUAGUGGAUGAGAAAGCCUAUGCUGAUGUAUCCCAUCAAAUGUUACCACUUUCGGAAACCAAAAAAGGAAAAGAGAAAAUAUCCUUUCAUUCACUUUUGCCUGUGAUGGAAAAGCAACAAAAGCAAAAAGUUGGUCAGCCAUAUAAGAAAACUCUAGUGAAAAUGGCUAAACUUUCAGCAAUUGCCCAAGAAUGGGAUUCAAAUGCCACAGAAAUAUCCAGGGUGACUCGCAAUAAGGAUAAUCUAACACCCUCAUGCAAACAAACAGAUGAGAAGAAAAGGGAUGAAAUGUUAGAAUUUCCCCCAACUACCUCAAGUGCCACAAGCUUUGGAUGCAAUUCGACAUCUGAUUCUUCAAACCACCUUACUAUUUCACAUUCAGAUGACAUAAUAUCUAAAUCUCAAAUAACUGGUCAAAGCAUUUCUAUGGAAUUUAUCCAACCGCCCAGAGGACAGAGAACUUCAAAGACCACACAAAAAGCAGAAGAAGUCCCGGCGCUGAAAUUGACCACUGCCGCAGAGGGGAAAGAUUCUCCUAUAGUACAAGCUCUGGCACAAAACACAUUGGUGCUGUCCGAAACUGUCUGCUCAUUUGAUGAUAACACAGAGGAUGCAUUGAAAGUACAAAAGAUACCUGGAAAAAAUACAGCAAUAACGUCCAAAGCAGGAAAUAGAAGGACUCAGGCGUUCAAAAGAAACAGAAUGACUCUGAGCAGCCUCUUGACCACUCAGUCACAGAGUAGCAGCGCUACACCCCAAGAAAAUUGUAAUUUGGGACUCUCUCAAGAUGCAACUCCACUACAAUCAUCUGACAUAAAAAUGGAGCCUAAAUACUUGUAUAUAAAAACAGAGCCCAAAUUCUUGUCAGACACUGGUGUCUUGGAUGUCAAGAACAAUUUGAAGGAACACCGAAAAAGAGAACCCUCCAAAAACUUUACAGAAGGGAGUGGUAAAAGUCCUGGUGUGAUGUCUAGAUGCUUUGACUUGUCUAUCACUCAAAAAGACCAGGGGGCACCAAGUGACAUAAGGAGGGAAAUCAAAUAUGUCACUGCUAACACAUCAGCUGUAGGAAACCAGGGGGAAAUGACUCCGAGAACUCAAGCUCUCUCAGGACUGAAGAGUAUUGAGGAGGUGCUGAAAUUGAAGCGGAAAGCUGGUCGACCAUUCAAGAAAAAGACAUUGUUUAAAAUGGCUAAACUGCUAGCGAUAGCACAGGAAGGUGGAUCUAAUGAUAUGGAGAACUGUGGCAUGAUUGAAGAGUGUGUUCCAAAAUUCCAGCAGGUCCCUGCCUAUCACCCCCCCAAGUCAAAAGUAAAGAAGACGGAUACAAGAACCGUGGCAUCAAAUUCACCUACAAGCACCUCAAGAAAAUCCAGCAGAGCGUGUAAAGCGACCCCAAAAACUGUUCAAAAGAUGCAAAUCCUCACACACACGCCCACCCAACCAGUGUUACCAGUUUCAUCCUACCUUAUUGAACCCAUUCUCAAAUUGGAGGACACAACUCUUAUCUCACCGUUGUCUGUCAUUCCUCUAUGUAGUGCAUAUAUUUCCCCUCAACAGGAAAGUCACAGAGGUGGAAAACCCCUGAAGAAAAACACACCAUUUUACAAAAACAUGACCACUGCAGUCCCACAUCCUCCAAUAUUUGCACUAGAUUCCAAGGCCCUUGCUGAGAUUGCCUCUACAGGGAAUGACAAAGAAACAAAGAAAGACAUUGGAUCCAAAAGUAAAUGCAAACGGGUGCCUAGAACUCGUGGUGUAUCAGAAUUACCGUGUACAAAUGGAAUUCCUCAGGGAGAUAUACAUACCCAGACUAAUAGGGAUGAGGUGUAUUCCAAGACUUCAGCACCUACUGUGCCACACUCCCAGAAAUCACGGAAACGUGGGGUUCAACAUAAAAAAGGUACAGAAAAGGCACUUGUCCUAUUAUCUGAUCAAACUGCCCUUCCUGUUUCAGAUUGCCAGUUGCAGGUGCAAAAUCACAGUGCAUCUCAGGAAACGCCAUCAAAGAUUGAGACAGAAUCUGACACUGUAAACCCGACACCGAGAACGGUUACAAAGAAUAUUCCAAAGAUGUGUAAGGCAAGAAACAAACCUUUACUGAAAGUUGAGAAAGCACAGGUGCCAACUCUGGAUCCUUCCCUUGUAGUGGAGCAUAUGCGUCCCGAUGUGCCAGAAGUGGAUCAAAUGAGACAAGUGGAAGCAGUGAUAGAGUCAGUAAUUAAAGAUGUUCACCAACCACUGGAACAUGUGGAUCAAAGAAACAAAAAUAAAGAAGAAGCCAGCAAUGUUUCUGUAUCAACUCUGGAUUCUUCACUUGGAAUGGAACAUAUGCGUCCUGAUGUGCCAGAACUGGAUCAUACAAGACAAAUGGAAGCAGUGAUGGAGUCAGUGACCGAGGAGCUACACAAAAAAGAGGUCAGUGAUGUUUCUGCAUCAGCAUACUCAACCUUUCCUUCCUCAGAUAACUUGUUUGAACAACAUAGCCAUAGUACAUUAUCUCAAUCGCCUUUGCUGACAUUAGAAAUAAAGACAGAAUCGGGCAGAAUCAAGAAUGCCCUACCCAAAAAGUCGAAAAUAUGCAUGAAAGAGAAAGAUACGUCAAAAAGCCUAUUGACAAAUCAUAAGAAAGCAUCUAUGCCAACUUCAGGUCCUUCAUCUGACACAGUGCAUGCGCCAUCCAAAAGAGUUAAGAAGAAUUCCACUACUUGUCAAGAAAGAAAAAGACCUCCACAGAAAGUUGAGAAAGCACAGGUGUCAACUCUGGAUAUAAACUACUCUGGAGAGAAACAUAGAAGUCCUGAAAUCCCACAAAUGGAUGAAAUGAGACAUGUCGAAGCAUUUAUAGAUGCAGUGAUUGAGGAUCUCCACAAACCACUCAAACCUAAGGAUCAACAAAAAAAGUUAAAAGAAGAGACUGAUAAUGUUGCUCCAUUAGAACCAACAACCUUUCCUGCCUUGGAUAACCUGUUGGAACAGCAUAACCAUAGUACAUUACCUCAAUCUUAUUUUCUGUCAUCAAGAAAGACAAAAUCAGGCUUGAAACAUGCCGUACCCAAAACGCCAACAAAGAAUAAGUCAAAAGCAUGCUUUAAAGGGAAACUCUCUAAAACUGAUAAGAAAGCAGCUGUACUAACUUUCGAUCCUUCUAUUGGAGGUGAAGAUGGAUAUCUUGAAAUGCCUCCCCACCUUAACCAAGCAGAGAAAGGAGGAAAGAGUGAUGGAAAGAACAAUAAUGAUGUAGUAAAGCAUGAAAUAUCAAUUACAGAUGACCAUUUGGAAACAGCAGCCCACAAACCACAUCAGCGUAAAGGGCCAAGAAAGAAGCUAAAAAAAGAGGACUGUAGUGUUUCCAAACCAGAUCAAGUAGAAUCCACUAUCUCAGACAGCCAGCUAAAACAGCAUGACCACAAUGCAUUAGAGCAUGUUUCUUUGCUAGCAUCAGAGACAAAGACAGAAUCAGGAUUGGAACAUAUCAUACCUGAAAUGGCAACAACAAAUAAGUCAAAAUCAUCCAGGAAAAGAGACCUCCCUUUAAAAGUACCCCCAGCAAACGCUAAAAGAGCAGCUAUGCUAACUUCAAAUCCUUCUCUUGGUGCAGAAGUUGGAUGUCUUGAAAUGCCUCCCCACCUUAUCCAUGCAAAGCAAGGAGGAAAGUGUGAUGGGAAAAGCAAUAACAAUGUAGUUAAACAUAAAAAAGAAACAGUGACAUCAGUGAUGGAAAAACAUAUGGAAACAGAGCGCAAACCACGUAUGGGGUCAAAAAAGAAUCUGAAAGAAGAGGACAGCAAUGUUUCCAUAUCAGAACAAGCAGCAACGCUUACCUCAGAUAAACAUCCCAACCAAGUUUCUUCGCUGGCAUCAGAGAUCAAGUCAGAAUCUAACAGUGGAUGUGUCACACCCACACAAAAAAAGUAUAUUUCAAAGGCAUACAAGAAAAGGAAGAUAAGUUCAAAACUUUCUCUUGGAAUGGAAUAUGGAUACUCUGAAAUGCCUACCAAUUUCACACAUGUGGACCAGGUUCAGAAUAUUCUUGAUACUUAUAAAAUCUCCAAAGUGAGAAAAGAAAUUACUGGAUCAAGCCGUCCAAUAUCCAAUCGAAGAAAUUCCAGACUGCCCUACACAUCUAAUUCACAUAUCACAACUGAGUCGAUGCAAGAUCAAGUAAUUCUAUCGGUUGCAUCAGAUCUCACCAAUAACCCUACCAGUCCUGUAUCAAUAACAGUGUCCUCAAUUGCAGUGCAAGGACAGAUUACUGAAUUAGUGAGUGUUGACUGUAUAGAGAAACGGUCACAUAAAAUGAGGACUCCUAAGACGAUAAAACCUCAGAGACCAAAAGGCACACGUCUUGAUAAGAAUAUCACAGAAGACAUGUCUCUCAAAUUCUUAUCAGCAUUUGUAAAAGAGGAACUCAUUGAGGAAGAAAAAAGCCCAGAAAAUAGGGGGAAAGAAGACGGCAAAGGGAAGAAAGGCAAAAUUCUCAAAAUAGACGAUGUGAAUCCACAAAGUAAACACAGCCAAUCUCAGGUGAAGGAUGGCAAUGCAUUAACAGAUGACAAAUUAAUUUUACAGGUCCCUAUAGAUGAAGCAGGGGGCUCUAUGUCUAUUGCAAUAGACACAAUCAGUACUGUGAUUCCAAAACGUAAAAAAGGUGGUCGUUUUUCCAAGAGAUUGCAAAAAAUGUCAUCUACCACCAACGUUCCCAGUGAACAGCAAUGCAUUAAUAUGUCCCCAGAAAAAACAUCUCUGUGUGUCAGCAAUAUAUCAGAAAUACAAAGAAAGCGAAAAGUUGACACCAGAAGUACUGAUUUUGUUAAUGCAGAUAUAGAAGUCCUAAAUCCUAAAGAUGAUCUUAGUGAUAGCUCUGUAUUAGUGGACUCGUCCUUACUGGAGAAUCAGAGAAUGAAGAACAAGGGUAAGAAAAAAUCCAAGACAAUUACGGAAGAACCGACAGUGGCCACAUCAGUUGUAAAAGAGAUGGUGGGGCAAGAUUUUCAGACCACCAUAACAGCACUGAAAAAUAAACAAGGUCGGCCAUUCAAGAAAAGAACUUUGAGAAUGGCAAAACGGCUGUCAUGUGGAGAGCAGAAGUCAAACACUAGCGGGGAACUUUCUGUGAAUAAGACACAGAGCUGUAAAUCAAAGGGAACUUCUAAGGGAGGGAAAAAGCACAAUUUGAACCCAGCGUCGUCAACCUUAAUAAGGCACACUAAAGCAUCCAAGGCAAUGAAGAUUGAAGACAUUGCUCUUAAACAAGAGCAAGAUGACAUAUGGGAGAUCAUUGAUGUAUCCAGCAACAUUUUCUCCUCACAAACUGUGAUUAUUUCCCCCAGUAUUUCAGGGCAAGAAUUUGAAACCUCCAUAUCUUCAGAAACAAUGUUCUCUCUUGAUGCAGGGCCGAUACAAGGAAUCCAGCAAAUUGAAUCUACCCAAUUAACACCCCAUCUCACAAAAUUACCUCAUAAAGUGACUGGCGUGAAGAAGAGAUGCAGGAGAAAUAAAACUGGAUGGGCUACAAAAGUGAAAUCCAAACGACCACUUUCCAAAGUGAACUCCGGGGAUAGGCUUGAUGUUUUGAUUCCGUCUACCAUUGACAACACUGGACUCAACACUAGCCUCUGUAAUUCGUUAAUGGAAAAUUACACAUUGGAAAGUGUUGAACAAGAAGAAUGUAGAGCACAAGAAGUGAAAGCACUAACAAACGAUUACAAUGUAGUUAAUGUUAGGGAGAUCAACUGUGGAGAUCAACUCCUAACAACAGCUCGUGCUAAAUUACAGCAUUCAAGUGUACUUCAGCAACAUUUUAAGACAAGGAAACCAAUGUCAUGCCACUUCUGUGGUCGCUCAUUUCGUCACAUAUCAGCAUACACAAUUCACAAGCGCAUUCACACAGGUGAGAAGCCUUACAGGUGCCAGAAGUGCGGCAAGAGCUUUGCUCAGCUCUCCAAGCUCAACUCGCACUCAAACAUCCACAAACAACAUGGACUCAUGCAAUGCCCAUGUUGCGUCACUCAGUCUCCAAACAAAGAUGACUUGAUUGAUCAUUUAAAGAUCCACAUGAAGGGCACCAAGAGGUUCAGUUUGAUUAAUAAAACGAGAAGAGCCAGAGAAAUUCAGAUCCAAUCUUGCGCUGAUUAUAUAGAUUCCCCAGUCUCUCUUAAUGGCAAGAAAACCCUUAGAUGCUCCACUUGUUUCAAAUAUUUUUUCAGCAAGGCCACAUUGAAGAUGCACCUGCAAACACACAGUGGAGUGAGUCGUUUCACCUGCAAAGUCUGUGGCAAGAUGUUUAGCAAGUUCUUAAGUUUCAAUGCACAUGAAAAAACACACUGGCCUGUUAAACCGUAUGCUUGCUCUGUGUGUGGAAAAGGCUUUGUUCUGCUUAGGGAGCUUAAAACCCACUCUCAUAUGCACUCAGGAGAGAUGCCUUUCUUCUGUAACCAAUGUGGACAGGCCUUUAGCGUCUUCUCAUCCUUGCGCACACAUCAAGUCUCCAAAGUGUGUUUUGAGGCUAGAUAUGAGGGAGAUGGAAACAAGGUUGACAUUGAGGGGUUCCUGGUGGAGCAAAGGACUGAUGGGCAGAUUAAUACCCCGAUGUACUUUAAAUGUCAGAUUUGCAAACAACUUAAUCGUCACUGGUGUCAGUACAUUCUUCAUCUACAAACGCACACUAAUAACAGGCCAAACCUUUGUGAGGUCUGUGGACAACGGUAUGACCAGGUCACGGAAUUAUGUGUUCAUUGUAAAGUUUGUUGCAAAUCAAGUGGAGAGGAGAGGGCAUGCAUUUCGUCCUUGUCACAGGUCUGGUACGAACCCCAAUCUCUGCAGAAUCAGACGCCUGAGCCUGAAAUUGAUUCUCUGUACAAUGAUAGUCAGGAAAUGUUAUCUUUGGAUGACCAGCAUCCCCAAUGUAAGGAGCCUGAGCCUCUGCCACCUCCGGAAACUAUGGAGGAGUAUUCCUCAGAUGUGCUUCCACAAAACCCCAAACCUGCUUGCCAGACCCCAGACCCCAGACCCCAUCCUUCUCCCUCAAACUCCAUGCGUGCAAGUCCUGCUCUAUCUUCCCCUUCUGUAAUGAGCUGUAAUUCCGUACGUGUGGUUCAACAGCCUGCAGGUGUUCGCUCUUGUUUACAGACCCAUGCCCCUUUUGACAGGUAUUCAUGUGGACAAUGUGGAAAAUCCUUUAACCAGUGGAACAAGCUCUGGUUGCAUCAGGGACUACACAGAGAAAAACGCUGUAGCUUCUCAUGCAAUCAGUGCAAUUUAGAGUUUCGCUUCUUUGGCUCCUAUAGGGAGCACAUGCAGGAACAUGCAGCACAGAGACCAUAUGCUUGUCCAUUAUGUCCCAAAACCUAUGUCAUUGAAGAAGACCUAAAUACCCAUCUGUGUGAAAAUCACCAGCCCCGUGAAAGCCUGAAAUGUGACACGUGUGGAAAGGAGUUCACCGGUUUCAGAAACUUGGAGAAACAUCGUCUUUUACACAGAGGUGCUAGCUCGCACUACUGUCUCCCUUGCAAGCUCCCAUUUCCUAGUAACCAAGCCUUACAGAAUCACUUGAAGGCUCACGAAGCCCGCCCUGUUAUCCCUCUCCCUGAAGGGCCAUUGGAACCACUUCUAUUUCCAUAUCGUUGUGGAAAAUGUAAUGCCAGAUUUACAACCACAGACUUGCUCCAAGCCCAUCAGGUUUGCCAUCUUAUUGGGGGGAAAAAAGCAUAUAGCAGCAGUUCAGCUAAUUAUGUUUCUGCAUCCCUUACCUCCAAGCUUUCAAACAAGCCAAGACAGAGAGUCACGCUGCUAUCCCCUCAGACAAUACCAAUUCCUCCGUUAAAGAAAAGGAACAUGUAUAGGUAUCCUAACCCUGAUCGUCUUUAUGUCGUCCCUAAAAUAUCCUCACAGCCAUCAGUCAUUAUUUCAGACACAGAAGAAGAGCCUCAAGAGCUUCUAAACAUUAGCUUAUCCUCAGUCUACGACACACCCUGUAACACUGUGUCCCUUGAACAUGAAGGGCAAAUCAUCCCUAGCAAUGAUUGUUGUGAGGCAAGCAACUCCGAUUUACCUCAGCCCUCAUAUCCCUCCUCAUGUGUUCUUACUGAUGAACCGACUCAAUGUACACCAAAGCCCCAAACAGACACCACACACAUGCCGACACAUGAACCACCCUCACCCUGUCCCCUGGAUAAAGGUCCUCAGAAUGCACCAGCCCAAAUACGAGACAAGUCUAAGGGUGAUCAUGAUGCUUUCUUUAGAGCCUCAACAUUUGUGAUACCAAGGGGCAAAAAGUGGGGGUAUGAUGCCUUUGAGUGUGCGGAUUGUUGGGUAACAUUUAGUGACGUCUCAGAGCUACAUGAGCAUUACAUACAUCAUGCCAGGGGGGUGAAGUGAAUGUCAAUACAUAUUUUCACAAUUCCACUAUUGUAUAUAAUUGCUUUUGAUGAUAUUGGUCAUUUACAUCUGAAGAGUACGAUAUCUGUUUCUGAGUUAACCAUAGUUGUCUUAAUAGCUAUAGCAAUGGUUAAAUGAAUAAUCCACACAAAACCCCUAAUUACUAUGAUUUACAUUGUUAAAUAACGCCUUUUGCAUUUUGUCGUUAUAAGGCAGGAAGCAACAUAUGAUAAUUGUUGUAGGAAUCUGUUGGAGCUCUCUCUGGACAGGAUUGCUGGCUAGCUACAAAACAGCUACACACGAUAAUAUCAAAAUCAAUAUCAGCAUGUGAAGUAGCUAGUCAGCUGUAAAAUCCCUGAAACACACUGCGCUAUUAAUUUUAGGAGUUACAAUCUCACCAUGUUCAACCUGGUGGAGAUUGUCUUGCUCAAAAUUGUGAGUGAGGUUGCUAUGGCAACGCAAUGACCCUGCCUGCACUGCGAAGGUCGCUUUGCGUGAUGGUAGUUAAAGGACAUUGAUCUGACGGUGCACUUUGAGUUUGAAUGAAAUAUAUACUUUGUCAUGACAAUAUAGACUGUUGGAUGUGUUCUAUACUUUUAUGUCAAUAUCAUCUAUUGUCUGAUUUGGCAAUCUGGAGUGCAGGUAAUUGUUUUAAAAGCAUUAUGAAAUAUGCUAGUUUGUUAUUGCCUAUCUCCAAAGACAAAAACUUUAUCGUGAUGACGCGGCACAACACAAUUUCGGACCAGAAGUUAAAUCAUGCCAUGGUGAAAAUAAUCACAGAACAGACUAUCACCAAUUUGAGAGGUGUUUCAUUCCUUCAGUGGAUUAUUUGUUUAACGUUGACAUGAACUUUUUUCCUUUAAAAAAAUUAUAUUUAUAUUAUUUGAAUAUAUCUGGGGAAUACGUUUUUCUCCCCCCCACCCCCAAGUUGUACAGUACUACAAAAAUGUGCCUUUUGAAUAGAUUACGAACUUGUCGUACUUUUAAACAGUUACUCCAAUCUGUCCUGUUUUAUUUGUUCUCUUUUUGGAAGAGCAUUUGGAAAGUACCCCUUUCAGACCCCUUGACUUUUUCCACAUUUUGUUACAUUACAGCCUUAUUCUAAAAUGGAUUCUAUUGUUUUUUCCCCCUCAAACAAUCUACACACAAAACACCAUCAUGACAAAGCAAAAGCAGGUUUUUAGAAAUUUGAGCCAAAAAAAUGAAUAAAUGAUGUUACAUUUACAUAAGUAUUCAGACCCUUUUCAGUGUUUUGUUGAAGCACCUUUUGCAGCAAUUACAGCCUUGAGUCUUCUUGGGUAUCACGCUACAAGCUUGGCACACCUGUAUUUGGGGAGUUUCUCCCAUUCUUCUCUAGAGAUCCACUCAAGCUCUGUCAAGUUGGAUGGGGAGCAUCGCUGCACAGCUAUUUUCAGGUCUCUCCAGAGAAAUCCGAUAGGGUUCAAGUCCGGGCUCUGGUUGGGCCUCUCAAGUACAAGUUUUUCGGUUGGAAGGUGAACCUUCGCCAAAGUCUGAGGUCCUGAGAGCUCUGGAGCAGGUUUUCAUCAAGGAUCUCUGUACUUUACUCCGUUCAUCUUUCCCUCGAUCCUGACUAGUCUCCCAGUCCCUGCUGCUAAAAAAACAUCCCCACAGCAUGUCGCUGCCACCACCAUGCUUCACCAUAGGGAUGGUGCCAGGUUUCCACCAGAUGUGACACUUGGCAUUCAGGCCAAAUAGUUCAAUCUCGGUUUCAUCAGACCAGAGAAUCUGGUUUCUCAUGGUCUGAGAUUCUUUAGGUGCCUUUUGGCAAACUCCAUGCGUGCUGUCAUGUGCCUUUCACUGUAGAGUGGCUUCUGUCUGGCCACACCCAUAAAUGCCCGAUUGGUUGAGUGCUGCAGAGAUGGUUAUCCUUCUGGAAGAUUCUCCCAUUUCCACAGAGGAACUCUAGAGCUCUGUCAGUGAUCAUCGGGUUCUUGGUCACCUCUCUGACCAAGGCCCUUCUCCCCCGAUUGCUCAAUUUGGCCGGGUGGCCAGUUCUAGGAAGAGUCUUGGUGGUUCCGAACUUCUUCGGUAGUGCUGGAGAAUUUUGUUUUGCUACCCUUCCCCAGAUCUGUGCCUCGACAUAAUCCUGUCUCGGAGCUCUACGGACAAUUCCUUCAACCUCAUGGCUUGGUUUUUGUUCUGACAUGCACUGUCAACUGUGGGACCUUAUAUAAACAGGUGUGUGCACAUCAUAUCCAAUCAAUUGCAUUUACCACAAGUGGACUCCAAUCAAGUUGUGGAAACAUCUCAAGGAUGGUCAAUGGAAACAGCUCAAUUUCAAGGCUCAUAGCAAAGGAUUUGAAUAUUUAUGUAAAUAAGGUAUAUUCCCUUUUUUUAUAUACAUUUGCAAACAUUUCUAAACCUGUUUUUACUUUGUCAUUAUCGGGUAUUGUGUAGACGUUACAACGUCUCAAAUGUCAAGGGGUCUGAAUACUUUCAGAAUGCACUGUACAUGUUUUUUUAUGUUUAACGUUGUAGAUGUUGUAACACACCUCUUUUAAAAUAACCAAUAUCAGUCCUCUUUAAAGUCAAUUGGAGGGUAACAAAAUGUUGUUAUCUUUGUAGUUACACUGCCCUUGCCUUUGCAUGAGGACUCAACUCUUUUACCAGUUCACUUCACCUAUUUUGUGGACUGAGUCCUCUUUUUUUGCAUUCACAUUGCUAUGUUUUGAAAAGAACCAACAUCUUUUUCCAACAUUCACUCAAUGCAGGACAAGCCAUUCAAUCACAAUGUGUUAUGGGACAGCUAGAUAUACAUACUUACAGUUUGGAAGCUAAUAGAUUGCUUUUAGUUCAAAUAUGAGACAUAACUGUAAUCAGAAGAUACGAUUAACGUGUAAAUAUUAUUGGUUACAGAACAAAUAGCAAUUGAGUAACUGCAGAUUAAAUAAUGCUGUAAUUGAAAAUUUUACACCCAAUGUAGGCUACUUCCCCUUUAAGAGCUAGAAUAGAUUUUAUAGGUUGUGAUUCUCACCAAAUAUGUUGUCUUCUCACACUAUUCAAACCCCACGAUCAAUAAACAGCUUAUAAAACUCUCUUAGCAUAUAGAGCACAUAUUGCAAACCAAUAAUCUGAACUAAAAACUCCACACAUUUUGGAAUUUCUGUGCAUCCUUGACAAUUGCUAGUCAAUAUCCAAAAACAGCUCACAUUUGUUUUCUUCCAUCAUCUCUCGUGGCACCAAUGUAAGGGUUUAUGGCAGGGGAAACGGUGUUGCUGUAGUCUAGUGUGUUGUGUGGGAAUAGUUACAAGCGAACCUGGGGACUUUUGUGUUUACAUUGUCCUAAAAAUGGGAACCGGACCACAGAAUUCAAGCAAACCCAACUCAGACCACCUCUCGAGAUGAUUUCGGUUCGCUUCGGUGGAUCUUUUGAGGGGUUUGAGUUUCUCUGGAGUGUUAACAAUGUAAAAUAAAUUAAGCGAACUGCACAGAGUUCACAAAUAUUGGCUGAAAGGGAACAAAUGUGAAAACACCCUAUGUUGUGUCCUUUUGGGGUAACAGAUAGAUCUGCUUUCCAAACAGUCAAUUGUUUGGUAAAUGGUGAUUACUUACCAUCUUUGUUUUCUGGAAAUGUGAAGUGUGGUUUGUGACACUAUUGUAAUUAGUCAUUUUCAAAUGUCAAAGAUGUCACUGGACAUUCAGUAAACAUUACUCAUUGCAUCUUUAAGCACUGUACAGCAAAGCUAUUGUCAACACAAAGAUGUGAUGGAAAGGAUUUGUUAUAUUGAUUCUGUGCUGAUCAUUUUCAUUCUUUAGCUGUCUCGUUAUCAAUGCAAAAGUUUUAAAGUUUUUAUAUACAGUUGUCUUACAAUAAAAGUAUCUUGACUUUG